This 253-nucleotide ribosomal RNA is filed under the name uncultured bacterium. Its description in RNAcentral is "partial 16S ribosomal RNA". It matches the Rfam family "Bacterial small subunit ribosomal RNA", at positions 524 to 776 of the family's 1533-position model. The record is from RNAcentral.
UACGAAGGGUGCAACCGUUGCUCGGAAUCAUUGGGCGUAAAGCGCACGUAGGCGGCUUUGCAAGUCGGAUGUGAAAUCCCUCGGCUCAACCAAGGAAGUGCAUCCGAAACUGCAGAGCUUGAGUACUUAAGAGGAUCGCGGAAUUCCCGGUGUAGAGGUGAAAUUCGUAGAUAUCGGGAGGAACACCAGUGGCAAAGGCGGCGAUCUGGGUGGAUACUGACGCUGAGGUGCGAAAGCGUGGGGAGCAAACAGG